Triticum urartu is the source of this 1246-nucleotide non-coding RNA. The record is from RefSeq and is a predicted model, not a curated record. NCBI's taxonomy places the organism in Eukaryota, Viridiplantae, Streptophyta, Magnoliopsida, Poales, Poaceae.
UGGGCGAGCUUUCCUGCGUUGCCAGGGGUGGUCGUACUACAGUCUGCCAAUGUACGCCGGUGACGUACUGGGCCUAGGCAUGGUGUGCAAGUGCAGGUCGAUUUUGGUCGUCCCGUACGACUUUGCCAUGGAGGAUCCCCUGGCCGCCGAGAACGCCACCGACGGGGACGCCGUGAGGGCGGGGUUCUCGGUGCGACGGAAGUCUGACGUCGGCUGGUACAGCGAGUGGAGGCCUCCGGACGCUUCUGCUCCGACGCUCAGGCUAGCGGGUCGUGUCCUACUCUUUUGUCAGGUUCAGGCGGGACGAGCGCGAGCAGCGGCGGGACAUGGACUCAAGCCAACACAGGUUCAUGGCGGAGCAGCUCACCUGCUGGUCUCCAGUCUCCACUUCGUAGAGUCGGCAGCAACUGCCUCACCAAUUGAUGUGCUCUUUUAUUCCUUCUCAGAUCCAUCUUUUUCAUACGUACCUCAAUAAAAGUUGGGGAUCAAGAAAUUGAUCGCUUCGAAGUACUGAGCAUGCCUAUUCUUUCUUAUGCAUGAGGGUAUGAAACAUAGGGGAUUUUUGGUGGUCAAAUGGUCAACCAAUCAGCCAAUGCCGUCAAGAUCUUCAUUGGGUGUGCUUGUGCUUUUUUGGAAGAUGCCAGGGCAGUAGCGCUGUUUCAGUAUAUUAAGAGAAGAUUUACAAAAUCUGAAGAUGUCAAGUAGUGAAAUGACUUUGGGAAUGGUGUGGUUCACCGGGAUAAUUAGUGGUAGCACCUCAUGCUGACAGGGAGUGCAUGAUCGAGAUUAUCAGAUACAACCGGAUUCCGCCACUUUGCAGUGUCAGAUUUUUGUUGGUGAGCUAGCCCAUGUUGUUCAUGGAAUGGCCUGAUGUGAAAGGAAAUGGGUCCAUAGGUCGAGAAGAGAAGCUUUCAUUUAGCAUAAGUGUGGUGUUGUUGCAAUUUUUUAUAUUAGUUAGAUAUUCAGAUAGCCUUUGUUUGGAGGUUAGAUAGUCUUAUUAUGAGAAUCAAGUAUGAAAUUAUGACAUUCUAUGAGGACUAUGUUUAGGCACAUAAAUUAUGAACCAAUUAUUCCUUCUUGAGAGGCGUUGUUUUUUCAGAAAAAUACUACUAUGAUUUCAGAAUUUUAGCAAAACAUGCAAGUUGUCAUCUUGAGAUUAGUUGUUAACUAGCAUUUGAAGGCAUGUGAUAUACAAAGAGACUAAUGGGUAUGUAUUGUGCUUUUAUAUAAAAAUAUACAAUAUCAC